GACGAACGCUGGCGGCGUGCCUAACACAUGCAAGUCGAACGGGGUGUUCCUUCGGGGACACUUAGUGGCGAGCGGGUGAGUAACGCGUGAGAAACCUGCCUCUCAGUGGGGGACAACAGUUGGAAACGACUGCUAAUACCGCAUAAUGUUAUCGGGUCGCAUGAUCUGAUAACCAAAGCUUUAUGUGCUGAAAGAUGGUCUCGCGUCUGAUUAGCUAGUUGGUGAGGUAACGGCUCACCAAGGCGACGAUCAGUAGCCGGUCUGAGAGGAUGAACGGCCACAUUGGGACUGAGAUACGGCCCAG
Molecule: ribosomal RNA, 304 nt
Filed under: uncultured bacterium
Lineage: Bacteria
Description: bacterial SSU rRNA
Rfam family: Bacterial small subunit ribosomal RNA
Source: RNAcentral